AUGUCGUCGGUCAGUGCCCGCGCUCCCGUGGCCGCUCUCCGGCCGGCGGCGUCAGCGUCGAGCCCCCGGUUCCUGGGCGACUCCGGCCGCGUCGGCCUCGCCAAGUCCACGCGCCGCGACGUCGCCGUCCAGGCCAAGGGGUCGUGGCUCCCCGGCCUCCCCUCCCCUGCCUACCUCGACGGCAGCUUGGCGGGUGACAAUGGGUUCGACCCGCUGGCGCUGGCGGAGGACCCGGAGGACCUGCGGUGGUUCGUGCAGGCGGAGCUGGUGAACGGGCGGUGGGCGAUGCUGGGGGUGGCGGGGAUGCUGAUCCCGGAGGUGCUGACCAAGGCGGGGCUGCUGAACGCGCCCGAGUGGUACGACGCCGGCAAGGAGACCUACUUCGCCUCCUCCUCCACGCUCUUCGUCAUCGAGUUCAUCCUCUUCCACUACGUGGAGAUCCGGCGGUGGCAGGACAUCAAGAACCCGGGCUCCGUCAACCAGGACCCCAUCUUCAAGAGCUACAGCCUCCCGCCCCACGAGUGCGGCUAUCCCGGCAGCGUCUUCAACCCCCUCAACUUCGCCCCCACCCUCGAGAACAAGGAGAAGGAGCUCGCCAACGGGAGACUGGCGAUGCUGGCGUUCCUGGGGUUCCUGGUGCAGCACAACGUGACCGGCAAGGGCCCGUUCGAGAACCUGCAGCAGCACCUGGCCGACCCAUGGCACAACACCAUCAUCCAGACCAUCUCCGGCCAAUAA
RNAcentral lists this ribosomal RNA (738 nucleotides) under Triticum aestivum (bread wheat). RNAcentral describes it as "partial small subunit ribosomal RNA". The record is from RNAcentral. Lineage: Eukaryota; Viridiplantae; Streptophyta; Magnoliopsida; Poales; Poaceae.